This 301-nucleotide ribosomal RNA is filed under the name uncultured bacterium. RNAcentral describes it as "partial 16S ribosomal RNA". It matches the Rfam family "Bacterial small subunit ribosomal RNA", at positions 509 to 807 of the family's 1533-position model. The record is from RNAcentral.
CAGUCGCCGCGGUAAUACGGAGGGUGCAAGCGUUAAUUGGAAUUACUGGGCGUAAAGCGCACGCAGGCGGUCUGACAAGUCAGAUGUGAAAUCCCCGGGCUUAACCUGGGAACUGCAUUUGAAACUGUCAGGCUGGAGUCUUGUAGAGGGGGGUGGAAUUCCAGGUGUAGCGGUGAAAUGCGUAGAGAUCUGGAGGAAUACCGGUGGCGAAGGCGGCCCCCUGGACAAAGACUGACGCUCAGGUGCGAAAGCGUGGGGAGCAAACAGGAUUAGAUACCCCUGUAGUCCAUGUCUCUUAUAC